This is a long non-coding RNA of Zalophus californianus (California sea lion), 621 nucleotides long. RefSeq lists it as uncharacterized. The transcript is spliced from 4 exons. The record is from RefSeq and is a predicted model, not a curated record. NCBI's taxonomy places the organism in Eukaryota, Metazoa, Chordata, Mammalia, Carnivora, Otariidae.
GGGUGACGGGACACCUUUCUAUCAAGUUCCGCGGGAGAGGCACCACAACCUCACCGCCGUUGUGAAGUGAUGAGUGAUAAAGCAGAGGAGUCCGCUGCUGGGCCCAAAGGCCAAGUGAGACGUCCUGGAAAACCCAUCACUCCGCCUCCGUUUAAGAAAAGGCUGAGCAUGCCGCUGCCAUCAGUGAGAGAGGAAGGAGACGGAGCAUCCCAACCCGAGGGCUCAGCCAUGUCCUGGGAAGAUGAACAUGAGAGAAUCUUGAAAUUGCUUGAAGGAGUGCAAGGACCUCCAGAAGUGCAGAAAAAAUUUGUCGUGUAUGCCAUGAAGGAAGCGGCAAGAUUUAAAGGACGAAUAAUCGUUUAAAAGACAAAAGACGGCUAAUUAAGCACCUUGAAAAGAUACUAGAAAAAGUAGAAUCUGCCAAUUUCUCAGCAAAGAAUAAGCACAGCCCAAACCUAUAAUCCCAUUAUCUCAAACAAUCGAAAAACAAGAACCAGCUCGCUGUCUUCUAGAAUGGAAUGGGAUAUUGCUGAAGCCUCCUAGCAUGUGUUAAAAGAACUGCCUGCUAGAGACUAAGAACAAAUAGUUGGAGCUUUAAAAAUAUUAUGAAUUUCUGUUAGU